UUGGAUAAUGACUGACAAACAAUAUACAUGUCUGGCCUAGACUGUGGAUUGGCAUUUAAGCAUGAAAAUGCCAGACUCACUAUGAAUGCCCAUUUGUCUUCAACCUCAAGUGAAGGAGGCGACAAACGCUCAUCCAACACAUCAUUGAAUGCUAUCUCCAUAUUGCCUGAGUGAGAUAACAUUGUAGAAAUCAGAUCACCAGGAUGCUUUCCUUUGAUGACUUCCAGUAUCAACACCCCAAAGCUGUACACAUCGCAUUUUUCUGUCACUUUCAUUGUGUAUGCAAGCUCUGGU
Molecule: unclassified non-coding RNA, 294 nt
Filed under: Hevea brasiliensis (rubber tree)
Lineage: Eukaryota; Viridiplantae; Streptophyta; Magnoliopsida; Malpighiales; Euphorbiaceae
Source: RNAcentral